Molecule: ribosomal RNA, 397 nt
Filed under: uncultured bacterium
Lineage: Bacteria
Description: partial 16S ribosomal RNA
Rfam family: Bacterial small subunit ribosomal RNA
Source: RNAcentral
AUACGUAGGUGACAAGCGUUAUCCGGAUUUACUGGGCGUAAAGGGCGUGUAGGCGGUCUUGCAAGUCAGAAGUGAAAUUCCUGAGCUCAACUCGGGCGCUGCUUCUGAAACUGCAGGACUUGAGUGCUGGAGGGGAUAGCGGAAUUCCUAGUGGAGCGGUAAAAUGCGCAGAUAUUAGGAAGAACACCGGUGGCGAAGGCGGCUAUCUGGACAGUAACUGACGCUGAGGCGCGAAAGCGUGGGGAGCAAACAGGAUUAGAUACCCUGGUAGGCCACGCUGUAAACGAUGAAUACUAGGUGUAGGGGGUAUCGACUCCCUCUGUGCCGCAGUUAACACAAUAAGUAUUCCGCCUGGGGAGUACGGCCGCAAGGUUGAAACUCAAAUGAAUUGACGGGG